UUGGUUUGUUACUGGUGGUCGGCUCGAUUGCUUGUGCACAACUUCCUCCUAACAUGCCUACUCGGACGUAGUUAAGGCAUUGAUUGCCUGAACUAUCUGUCGGUUUCUUGUGUUGCCUACCUAAUUUACGGUAUUGGUGUUGCCAUAUCUAUGUUUUGUUCGUCUUUUGUCAUGAACAUGAAGUUAGAUGAACUCUAAACCGGUCUCUUUGAGCCACAUCAUUAAUGUGUGUUGAUGUAGUGGUGCAUGGAGCCUUGGUUGGUCUCUAUGAUGUAGUGCUAAAAUUGGGCAUGGGUCUAUGGGAUCCUUGUUAUGUCCUUGUUAAGUGUUUACGCUCUCAAAAAUGACUGCUUGACACGUGUUGGCUCAUAAAUGCGUGUUGGGCUUUGUCUAAGAGGAUCGUUACCUGGU
RNAcentral lists this unclassified non-coding RNA (411 nucleotides) under Platypodanthera melissifolia subsp. melissifolia. RNAcentral's name for it is "partial contains external transcribed spacer and 18S ribosomal RNA". Lineage: Eukaryota; Viridiplantae; Streptophyta; Magnoliopsida; Asterales; Asteraceae. The record is from RNAcentral.